RNAcentral lists this long non-coding RNA (1259 nucleotides) under Vigna radiata. RNAcentral describes it as "long non-coding RNA (VRAD_LNC003243)". Lineage: Eukaryota; Viridiplantae; Streptophyta; Magnoliopsida; Fabales; Fabaceae. The record is from RNAcentral.
UUUUUCAUCUCACCUUCUACCCUCUAUCUAUUCAUNUUCUCCAAGAAAGAACUGUUUGAUUUUUUUCUCCUUGACGACUCUGUAACCAACCCAGAAUGCCAACCAUCACAUCUCUGACCUCUCCAGCACCGUUUCGUGGAGGUUUCGUUCUUUUUUCCAAAUUGUUUUUCAUCUAACAAUUUAUNUGNAGUCUCUCUCAAUCCUAUCUCUAGCCCUAACACCCAAUCUUCCUUUCGAUCCUUCAUCUCUCAGAUAUUUCCUUAUUCCAAAACCUAGCUCAAUUUAUCCACUCGAUUUUCAUAAUAUUCCGUUUCAAGUUCUGCUUUAAUUGAAUAUAAAAUGUUAUAGUNGAUGAUUGCCUACAUAGUUUAGAAAGCUGCAGCUGAAAUUGGUCAUUCAAUCAUUGAUUUGUUGUGCAGUGCACCUUCAACAUUUGAAAGACAAUUCCAAUUAGAACUUCCUCUUUUGUAUCGAUACCUCAUUGAUGCUCCUUCUGGUAAGGUAUUUCUUAACUUUUAAUAUUCUAAUUUUUUCCAGUUUGGAAAGAUGCUAUUUCAAGUGAUUUUGUUUAUUUUCCUGCUUACUACUAACCACAGCACGUCUGCUGCUGCAGUUAUAACAGGGUCAGGAACUUUUUAAACUUUAGGGUUUNGGGAAGGAAAAGGGAAGACAUGAUUAUGGCUAACACUGAUGAUUAGAUAUAGUACUAAAUUACUAAUUAGGUCAAGAACCCAAUCCCACUACUAAUGACUGUAAUAUCUUAUACGAGAACUAGAACUUAUAUAUUGAUUUUGUCAUUUUUACAUCAUCUUGAUUUCCUGUAGGUCUGUUAGAAGGACGUGAUUCAUUGGAUGUGGCCUCUUUUCACAGAAANUUAGAGAUCAUGGAGAAAUGAUGUCUUGCAUCUUAGUCCAUGUCCUUUUUACUGUUAGUGUUUUCUAUUAUUUUUUCUGCCUUAAAAUAUAAUUUCUAUGCCUACUAGUUUGUGUUUUAAAAAAUUAUAUGCUACCUUAGUUAGGUUGUUAUAGGCACGUGCCCUUGCUGAGAAGUAUGGGGCACAAUCAAGAGCAGGAACAAACCCUCUCUUUUGGUUCCACAAUCAAGUAACGUUAACUGCUUUCGAUUCUUUUUCAUUUUCGUGUUUGUCAAUUGAAUUCGAUGCAUUUUACUUUUGUCAUCAGUGAUUUUGUUUUUCUUACCUUUGCUCUUAAUUUGAACAAAUGCCUUUUUGUUUCUGUUCGCGUUUCAGAUUUUGCUGA